GACGAACGCUGGCGGCAUGCCUAAUACAUGCAAGUCGAACGCGGCCAUCCGGUGCUUGCACUGGUGAAGCCGAGUGGCGAACGGGUGAGUAACACGUGAGAAACCUGCCCUGGAGUGGGGAAUAACUCGAAGAAAUUCGAGCUAAUACCGCAUACCUUCUCUUCACCGCAUGGUGAGUUGAAGAAAGAUUUAUCGCUCUAGGAGGGUCUCGCGGCCUAUCAGCUAGUUGGUGAGGUAAUGGCUCACCAAGGCAUCGACGGGUAGCUGGUCUGAGAGGACGAUCAGCCACACUGGGACUGAGACACGGCCCAGACUCCUACGGGAGGCAGCAGUAGGGAAUCUUGCGCAAUGGGCGAAAGCCUGACGCAGCAAUGCCGCGUGCGGGACGAAGGCCCUAGGGUCGUAAACCGCUUUCAGUAGGGACGAAAAUGACGGUACCUGCAGAAGAAGCUCCGGCCAACUAC
RNAcentral lists this ribosomal RNA (464 nucleotides) under uncultured Actinomycetes bacterium. Its description in RNAcentral is "bacterial SSU rRNA". It matches the Rfam family "Bacterial small subunit ribosomal RNA", at positions 28 to 504 of the family's 1533-position model. The record is from RNAcentral. Lineage: Bacteria; Bacillati; Actinomycetota; Actinomycetes.